RNAcentral lists this unclassified non-coding RNA (227 nucleotides) under plant metagenome. RNAcentral describes it as "partial contains small subunit ribosomal RNA, internal transcribed spacer 1, and 5.8S ribosomal RNA". The record is from RNAcentral.
UUUCCGUAGGUGAACCUGCGGAAGGAUCAUUAAAGAAUUUGCCCCGUCCUCUCGAGGAUGGGUCCUCUUCUAAACCGUGUAUACAUACCUUUGUUGCUUUGGCGGGCCGCCGUCUCGGCGUUGGCUUCGGCUGACUGUGCCCGCCAGAGAACCCCAACUCUUCUGUUUAGUAUUGUCUGAGUACUAUAUAAUAGUUAAAACUUUCAACAACGGAUCUCUUGGCUCUG